This is a long non-coding RNA of Lycium barbarum (goji berry), 1632 nucleotides long. RefSeq lists it as uncharacterized. The transcript is spliced from 3 exons. NCBI's taxonomy places the organism in Eukaryota, Viridiplantae, Streptophyta, Magnoliopsida, Solanales, Solanaceae. The record is from RefSeq and is a predicted model, not a curated record.
GUUUGGGUUAACCAACUCAUCAUACGUAGCAUCCUUGCUUAUCAUUAUUGGUACUGUCUCUCGACCCUUCGACCGCCAAGUAUACCGAGUAGCAUUCUCCACCCAUUCACCAGGUAAGUCAACUUCUAUUAUUAUUAUUUGAUCUUCCAUUGAGGGUCACAAUACCUGAAGAUAUCACAAAAAUACAUAUUUCAGUGGUCUUACGAGAGAGAGAGAGAGAGAGAGAGAGAGAGAGAGAGAGAGAGAUUCAUCAAACAACUUCAAAAUUGCUAAAAGCCUUAGUUACUUAUCCCUACACCUCUUUAGUUGUCCCACAACCAACGAUAGCUGUCAGACAACUUUAGUAGUUUUGGGGGACGACUGUUGUAUUCAACUAUUUAUUCCAACAACUAAUAAGUUGUUCCACAAUUUUACUAGUUGUCCUGACAACUAAUCAGUUAAUCAGUAACUAAACACAGUUAUCGGACAACUUUAGUAGUUAUUGGGAUAACUUCUGUAAUUGUCGAACUAUUUAUUGUGACAACUAUAAAAGAUGUUCCACUAUUGAAUUAGUUGUCCUAUCAACUAUUCAGUAGUCCAACAGCUACACACAGUUGUCGGGCAACUAUAGUAGUUGUUACGUCCCGUAUUUUUAUACAUUGGGACAACCCGGAUUAACUAUGAUAAAUUAAGGCCAAGACUAUUCCGGGAUUUGAAGUCGGGACUUUUGACCUUUGAUUUUAUUUUGAGACAUAAGUUGUGUAUGAAAUAGUUAGCUUGAACACUUAGGAAAAAUUGGGACCAUAAUUCAUAAAUUUGGAAAUUAAAACUCUUGCAUAAAAAAAAAAAAAAGGAAGAUGUGUGGAUUGAAGUGGUCCCCACACAUUGUUGUGGCCAAUUUUAAUUGGUCCAACACAUGUGUGGGCCCAAAGACAAUAAGAGAUAUUUUAAGGGGACUUAAAAGAUGACCACUUAGUCAUCUUUCUCUCAUUUCACAUUCCCACACUUAGAAAAUAAAGCAAGAAGUUGAGGAACCAAAACCAUGGCUCACGGCCAAGACCAUGGAAAACCAAAUCCAAAUCAAGCCCCUCUAAAAAUAUUUCUUGGGUACAAAUCAACUAAUUAGAGGUCCCUAAGUAACUUGGAAGCAUUGUUGGAGUGAUCAAGUCUUUCAUUUAAGAGAUUUGCAAACCCUAGCCUAUUGGUGGAUUGAAGAAGAAAGACCUUGGGGAGCCCGAGGCGUGGAUUGGAAAUUUACUUUAGAUUGGCUAUUUUGGAAGUGCGUACGAGGUACAGACGCACAGCCUGGUGAUCCACCUGUUUAGGACACCCUUUCUGCUAUUCGGAGUGCUCCUCUCUUUCCGGAGCUUAUACUUUUGGUAUAUAUAUUUAUUAGUGCAUUUGUAUAUAUUCGUUCAUGGGUACGGCGGGGCCCUGUCCCGUCAUAUGAUUCUGUCGGUCUGUUUAGAGGUCUGUGGACAUGUUUGUGGGUUGGGGUCUUUCUGUAUAGAUGUAUGUACAUGUCGUUUGGGCGAUCCCAUACGCCGAGGCGGCCGGUCCGCAUAUGUUGUUUGGGCGAUCCUAUACGCCGAGGCGGCCGGUCCGCAUAUGUUUAUAUAUUGCUUGGUUAGCCCUGUGUGGCUUUUGUUGGUA